CAGUAGCCGCGGGAAUACGAAGGGUGCAAGCGUUACUCGGAAUUACUGGGCGUAAAGCGUGCGUAGGUGGUGGUUUAAGUCCGUUGUGAAAGCCCUGGGCUCAACCUGGGAAUUGCAGUGGAUACUGGGUCACUAGAGUGUGGUAGAGGAUAGUGGAGUUUCCGGUGUAGCAGUGAAAUGCGUAGAGAUCGGAAGGAACAUCUGUGGCGAAGGCGACUAUCUGGGCCAACACUGACACUGAGGCACGAAAGCGUGGGGAGCAAACAGGAUUAGAUACCCCAGUAGUCCCUGUCUCUUAUAA
This 301-nucleotide ribosomal RNA is filed under the name uncultured bacterium. RNAcentral describes it as "partial 16S ribosomal RNA". It matches the Rfam family "Bacterial small subunit ribosomal RNA", at positions 509 to 809 of the family's 1533-position model. The record is from RNAcentral.